CCUACGGGAGGCAGCAGUGAGGAAUAUUGGUCAAUGGGCGGGAGCCUGAACCAGCCAAGUCGCGUGAGGGAAGAAGGUACUGAGUAUUGUAAACCUCUUUUGCCAGGGAACAAAGGCGGCCACGGGUGGCCGUAAGAGGGUACCUGAUGAAAAAGCAUCGGCUAACUCCGUGCCAGCAGCCGCGGUAAUACGGAGGAUGCGAGCGUUAUCCGGAUUUAUUGGGGUUAAAGGGGGCGGAGGUGGGGUGUCAAGUCAGCGGUAAAAAGUUCGGGCCCAACCCCGGGCGGGCGGUUGAUACUGGCAUGCUCGAGUUGGAGAGAAGUAUGCGGAAUUCGUGGUGUAGCGGUGAAAUGCAUAGAUAUCACGAAGAACCCCGAUUGCGAAGGCAGCAUACUGGCUCCACACUGACGCUGAGGCACGAAAGCGUGGGUAUCGAACAGGAUUAGAUACCCGAGUAGUC
This 460-nucleotide ribosomal RNA is filed under the name uncultured bacterium. RNAcentral describes it as "partial 16S ribosomal RNA". It matches the Rfam family "Bacterial small subunit ribosomal RNA", at positions 338 to 795 of the family's 1533-position model. The record is from RNAcentral.